This 187-nucleotide non-coding RNA is filed under the name pig gut metagenome. Its description in RNAcentral is "Lysine riboswitch". It matches the Rfam family "Lysine riboswitch aptamer". Rfam says of the family: Riboswitches are metabolite binding domains within certain messenger RNAs that serve as precision sensors for their corresponding targets. Allosteric rearrangement of mRNA structure is mediated by ligand binding, and this results in modulation of gene expression. The record is from RNAcentral.
UUGAUAGAGGUGCGAAAUUGAUAAGUAGCGCGUCACGGGUUUAAAGUCCGUGGGAUUGUUCCGCUUUUCGGAAAGCGCGGCGCAAAAGGCAAUUUCGCCGAGGAGUGUACGUUCCGAAGCGUGCAUAUCCGGUCGUACGUUGAACAGGCGUGCGACUGUCAUCGACUUGCUUGAUGGAGUGCUAUCG